This 468-nucleotide ribosomal RNA is filed under the name uncultured bacterium. RNAcentral describes it as "partial 16S ribosomal RNA". It matches the Rfam family "Bacterial small subunit ribosomal RNA", at positions 28 to 507 of the family's 1533-position model. The record is from RNAcentral.
GACGAACGCUGGCGGCGUGCUUAACACAUGCAAGUCGAACGGAAAGGCCCUGCUUUUGUGGGGUGCUCGAGUGGCGAACGGGUGAGUAACACGUGAGUAACCUGCCCUUGACUUUGGGAUAACUUCAGGAAACUGGGGCUACUACCGGAUAGGAGCUCCUGCUGCAUUGUGGGGGUUGGAAAGUUUCGGCGGUUGGGGAUGGACUCGCGGCUUAUCAGCUUGUUGGUGGGGUAGUGGCUUACCCAGGCUUUGACGGGUAGCCGGCCUGAGAGGGUGACCGGCGACAUUGGGACUGAGAUACGGCCCAGACUCCUACGGGAGGCAGCAGUGGGGAAUAUUGCACAAUGGGCGGAAGGCUGAUGCAGCAACGCCGCGUUCGGGAUGACGGCCUUCGGGUUGUAAACCGCUUUCGCCUGUGACGAAGCGUGAGUGACGGUAAUGGGUAAAGAAGCACCGGCUAACUACGUG